RNAcentral lists this ribosomal RNA (422 nucleotides) under uncultured archaeon. RNAcentral's name for it is "partial 16S ribosomal RNA". It matches the Rfam family "Archaeal small subunit ribosomal RNA", at positions 323 to 746 of the family's 1478-position model. The record is from RNAcentral.
CUACGGGAGGCUCCAGGCGCGAAACCUUCACACUGUGCGAGAGCACGAUGAGGGGAUCCCAAGUGCUAGUUCGUAAGAGCUAGCUGUUUUUCUGUCUAAAAAACAGUGAGAGUAAGGGCUGGGUAAGACGGGUGCCAGCCGCCGCGGUAAUACCUGCAGCCCAAGUAGUUAUCGUUAUUAUUGGGCCUAAAACGUCCGUAGCCUGUUUGGUAAAUGCUUGGGUAAAUCGUGUGGCUUAACCAUACGAAUACCGGGUAGACUGCCAGACUUGAGACCGGGAGAGGUUGGAGGUACUCCUGGGGUAGAGGUGAAAUUCUGUAAUCCUGGGGGGACCACCAGUGGCGAAGGCGUCCAACCAGAACGGGUCUGACGGUGAGGGACGAAGCCCUGGGGCGCAAACCGGAUUAGAUACCCUUGUAGUC